Otolemur garnettii (small-eared galago) is the source of this 49-nucleotide non-coding RNA. Lineage: Eukaryota; Metazoa; Chordata; Mammalia; Primates; Galagidae. The record is from Rfam.
GGGAAACAGGAGGUGGGGCCAGCCCCAGGCCCCAAAACAAACUGGGGUA